This 596-nucleotide ribosomal RNA is filed under the name Pantoea sp. gx-181. RNAcentral describes it as "bacterial SSU rRNA". It matches the Rfam family "Bacterial small subunit ribosomal RNA", at positions 35 to 621 of the family's 1533-position model. The record is from RNAcentral. Lineage: Bacteria; Pseudomonadati; Pseudomonadota; Gammaproteobacteria; Enterobacterales; Erwiniaceae.
GGAUGCGGCAGCUACACAUGCAAGUCGAACGGCAGCACAGAAGAGCUUGCUCUUUGGGUGGCGAGUGGCGGACGGGUGAGUAAUGUCUGGGAAACUGCCCGAUGGAGGGGGAUAACUACUGGAAACGGUAGCUAAUACCGCAUAACGUCGCAAGACCAAAGUGGGGGACCUUCGGGCCUCACACCAUCGGAUGUGCCCAGAUGGGAUUAGCUAGUAGGUGGGGUAAUGGCUCACCUAGGCGACGAUCCCUAGCUGGUCUGAGAGGAUGACCAGCCACACUGGAACUGAGACACGGUCCAGACUCCUACGGGAGGCAGCAGUGGGGAAUAUUGCACAAUGGGCGCAAGCCUGAUGCAGCCAUGCCGCGUGUAUGAAGAAGGCCUUCGGGUUGUAAAGUACUUUCAGCGGGGAGGAAGGCGGUGAGGUUAAUAACCUCGCCGAUUGACGUUACCCGCAGAAGAAGCACCGGCUAACUCCGUGCCAGCAGCCGCGGUAAUACGGAGGGUGCAAGCGUUAAUCGGAAUUACUGGGCGUAAAGCGCACGCAGGCGGUCUGUUAAGUCAGAUGUGAAAUCCCCCGGGGUUUAACCUGGGAAC